Molecule: ribosomal RNA, 1369 nt
Filed under: uncultured bacterium
Lineage: Bacteria
Description: bacterial SSU rRNA
Rfam family: Bacterial small subunit ribosomal RNA
Source: RNAcentral
GACGAACGCUGGCGGCGUGCCUAAUACAUGCAAGUAGAACGCUGAAGAGGGGAGCUUGCUCUUCUUGGAUGAGUUGCGAACGGGUGAGUAACGCGUAGGUAACCUGCCUUGUAGCGGGGGAUAACUAUUGGAAACGAUAGCUAAUACCGCAUAACAAUGGAUGACACAUGUCAUUUAUUUGAAAGGGGCAAUUGCUCCACUACAAGAUGGACCUGCGUUGUAUUAGCUAGUAGGUGAGGUAACGGCUCACCUAGGCGACGAUACAUAGCCGACCUGAGAGGGUGAUCGGCCACACUGGGACUGAGACACGGCCCAGACUCCUACGGGAGGCAGCAGUAGGGAAUCUUCGGCAAUGGGGGCAACCCUGACCGAGCAACGCCGCGUGAGUGAAGAAGGUUUUCGGAUCGUAAAGCUCUGUUGUAAGUCAAGAACGAGUGUGAGAGUGGAAAGUUCACACUGUGACGGUAGCUUACCAGAAAGGGACGGCUAACUACGUGCCAGCAGCCGCGGUAAUACGUAGGUCCCGAGCGUUGUCCGGAUUUAUUGGGCGUAAAGCGAGCGCAGGCGGUUUGAUAAGUCUGAAGUUAAAGGCUGUGGCUCAACCAUAGUUCGCUUUGGAAACUGUCAAACUUGAGUGCAGAAGGGGAGAGUGGAAUUCCAUGUGUAGCGGUGAAAUGCGUAGAUAUAUGGAGGAACACCGGUGGCGAAAGCGGCUCUCUGGUCUGUAACUGACGCUGAGGCUCGAAAGCGUGGGGAGCGAACAGGAUUAGAUACCCUGGUAGUCCACGCCGUAAACGAUGAGUGCUAGGUGUUGGAUCCUUUCCGGGAUUCAGUGCCGCAGCUAACGCAUUAAGCACUCCGCCUGGGGAGUACGACCGCAAGGUUGAAACUCAAAGGAAUUGACGGGGGCCCGCACAAGCGGUGGAGCAUGUGGUUUAAUUCGAAGCAACGCGAAGAACCUUACCAGGUCUUGACAUCCCGAUGCUAUUUCUAGAGAUAGAAAGUUACUUCGGUACAUCGGUGACAGGUGGUGCAUGGUUGUCGUCAGCUCGUGUCGUGAGAUGUUGGGUUAAGUCCCGCAACGAGCGCAACCCCUAUUGUUAGUUGCCAUCAUUCAGUUGGGCACUCUAGCGAGACUGCCGGUAAUAAACCGGAGGAAGGUGGGGAUGACGUCAAAUCAUCAUGCCCCUUAUGACCUGGGCUACACACGUGCUACAAUGGUUGGUACAACGAGUUGCGAGUCGGUGACGGCAAGCUAAUCUCUUAAAGCCAAUCUCAGUUCGGAUUGUAGGCUGCAACUCGCCUACAUGAAGUCGGAAUCGCUAGUAAUCGCGGAUCAGCACGCCGCGGUGAAUACGUUCCCGGGCCU